GAUGAAGAACGCAGCGAAAUGCGAUAAGUAAUGUGAAUUGCAGAAUUCAGUGAAUCAUCGAAUCUUUGAACGCACAUUGCGCCCGCUAGUAUUCUGGCGGGCAUGCCUGUCCGAGCGUCAUUUCAACCCUCAAGCCCCCGGGCUUGGUGUUGGGGAUCGGCGAGCCUCCGCGCCCGCCGUCCCCUAAAUCUAGUGGCGGUCUCGCUGUAGCUUCCUCUGCGUAGUAGCACACCUCGCACUGGGAAACAGCGCGGCCACGCCGUUAAACCCCCAACUUCUGAACGUUUGACCUCGGAUCAGGUAGGAAUACCCGCUGAACUUAAGCAUAUCAAUAAGCGGUGGA
RNAcentral lists this unclassified non-coding RNA (343 nucleotides) under soil metagenome. RNAcentral's name for it is "partial contains 5.8S ribosomal RNA, internal transcribed spacer 2, and large subunit ribosomal RNA". The stretch from base 1 to 120 matches the Rfam family "5.8S ribosomal RNA", at positions 35 to 154 of the family's 154-position model. The record is from RNAcentral.